ACUUGGGUAAAUCCCAAGAUUCGUGCACCGGCUCCCCCCUCUCUCUUUCUCUCUCUCUCUCUCUUAUAAAUCGAAUUUAUAAAAAUGUGGUAUGUUUUCAUCAUGGCAUUAAAGUCUAAAUUUAAGGUUGCGUGCGUGAUAUUAGUCACGCACGCUUAAGAACCGUGACCGACGUCUGAAAUCGUUCGUGUGCACAACCUCCAUUCUCUCCCUCUCGGUUUUUUUUUUUCUUCUCUCUCGAGAGGAUGACGUCGUGCUUGAGAAAUUUGAUUGAAAUUUUGUUUCGUAAAAGCGGUACGAUACACGUCGAUUCUCUUUCUAGAUAGAGGGAAAAUUCGAGAGUUCCUUCUCGUGUUUCAUUAUAUAUCUCUGGAGAGAAACCGAGGAAAGAGGGUAUUUCUGCUGGCGUGACGUCAUAAUCUUCAAAGGGAUGAGAGAAUCAGAGCGCAUUGCAUUACUGCCAGCAUCAAAAGAAGUGUCAUAAUAUCCGAAAGGCCUCAUCUUAUUGGCUACUACGAUAAGAAUUUGAUAAUUAAAAUAUCCCCCUGGUGUUUUAAACCGAAAUAAAAUUUGUUAGCAUCGAUUUGAGUAACGCGGCAUUCUUUUAUUCUGCCAUUCGGCUUUUGUUUUAGUGGAAUUGAAUGUCUGCAAUAUGCGUCACAGUCGAUAUCUGGUUACACACUAUAUAUAUAUAAAAAAAACUGGAUUUAUGUUAUUUUUUUUAAGUACGGACCAUAAACUGGAAAAUCUUUUCUGGUAUUGUAAAUAAUUAGGUCAGAAAUAUAGGUCAUUUAGAAAUAAUACAGGUGGAUACACGAGAUGGGUAUGCUACAGAUUACUGUUUUGUAAUAACAUUUUUUUUUUUUGCAUGCCUUUGUGUAUAAUCUUUUGGCAUACUGCUUACAGAGGAAUCGAUCCAGUUAUCUGAUCCUAAUUUUCGAUAAACGCCCCGAUUUUAAACGUAGCACUAGGUUACAUUUUCUCGUUGGGCGCGAUCCGCGCCAGGUUUUAUUCAUUCAUUCAUUUAUUUUUUAAAUUAAAUAUUGCAUCAGUUGGCAAAUUUUUUUAUAUAAAAAGUUUUUAGAAAUUGGAGACUUUCGAGUUGUCUCUAUUAUUAUUUUUAUUUUAAUUUAGAUUCGCUUCGUUUUGGAGAAAACAAACAAGAACAUAAAAGUUGGUUAAUGAAUGCAGAGCGGGAAAUCCCCUAGCGCAUCGUUAGAGACGUCAAAGUGAGCUUAAUUUGUUGGUAUUGCUCGGUUUAACGCAGUUAAACGACCACUGAGGUGAUCAAAAUGAUUUGGAGACAAUCAAUAACAAGAUUUUUUUAGUGAACAUGGGCUCAGAAGAGGUUUCGUUAUGAGACAGAUUAAAGGAAAAUUGGUCUUCUAUAUUAUCCGCAUGGUAACAUUAAUUAUAACAGUAUACAGUCAUAUAUAUCGCUGUUGUAAUACUGUCUUAUCCCGAUUACACAGUCCAUAAUGUCAAAAUAAUGUUCGGUUUAGUGCGAAAUUACGGCACGCUUGGCGAUCGUCAUUUCAAAAUGUCCGUUACUGUUCGGCGCGAAACGACUCGUCGCGACGCGUGCGAAACGUCGCAUCGUACGUGUAGAAUUUUUCUUAUAGAUAUAUAUAUAUAUGACAACAAAACAUUUAAGCCGAGAUCAAUUUAUCAUCAUUUCAUUUAUCUUAAUUACCAACAACAACAACAACACAGGUAAGAAUCACGCGAUCGUCGCUACGAGAAUUAUUAAUGACUUUACGUCUCGAAACAGCAACGAAAACAGUCCCGCGUCGGAUAAAAGUUGGGUCAUCUGGCAGGAAGAAAAAAAAAAAAAAAAAAAACUAGCC
This 1847-nucleotide long non-coding RNA is filed under the name Androctonus crassicauda. Lineage: Eukaryota; Metazoa; Arthropoda; Arachnida; Scorpiones; Buthidae. The record is from RNAcentral.